GAUGAACGCUAGCUACAGGCUUAACACAUGCAAGUCGAGGGGAAACGACAUCGAAAGCUUGCUUUUGAUGGGCGUCGACCGGCGCACGGGUGAGUAACGCGUAUCCAACCUGCCCAUCACUUGGGAAUAACCUUGCGAAAGUAAGACUAAUACCCAAUGAUAUCCCACGAAGGCAUCGGAAUGGGAUUAAAGAUUUAUCGGUGAUGGAUGGGGAUGCGUCUGAUUAGCUUGUUGGCGGGGUAACGGCCCACCAAGGCAACGAUCAGUAGGGGUUCUGAGAGGAAGGUCCCCCACAUUGGAACUGAGACACGGUCCAAACUCCUACGGGAGGCAGCAGUGAGGAAUAUUGGUCAAUGGGCGCGAGCCUGAACCAGCCAAGUAGCGUGCAGGAAGACGGCCCUAUGGGUUGUAAACUGCUUUUAUAAGGGAAUAAAGUGGGUCACGUGUGACUUUUUGCAUGUACCUUAUGAAUAAGGACCGGCUAAUUCCGU
This 491-nucleotide ribosomal RNA is filed under the name uncultured bacterium. RNAcentral's name for it is "partial 16S ribosomal RNA". It matches the Rfam family "Bacterial small subunit ribosomal RNA", at positions 28 to 506 of the family's 1533-position model. The record is from RNAcentral.